Non-coding RNA from Sesamum indicum (sesame), 2919 nucleotides. The record is from RefSeq and is a predicted model, not a curated record. NCBI's taxonomy places the organism in Eukaryota, Viridiplantae, Streptophyta, Magnoliopsida, Lamiales, Pedaliaceae.
AUAUCAAUUGAAUAUAAAAUUAAUAUUAAUAACAAAAUUUAGAUAUUAAUUGAGUGAUUUAUAAUUACGCCAACCGUCCGCCUCUCUCGCGCGCGCGCGCAAUAAUAAAACUGCAAGUGCGAGCGAAGUCAUGCAGAGUUCCUGAAAAACGCACAAAUUACUGGUAACUUCUUCUUCAUCUCCCUCUCCUCUCUCCGACUAUAACACUGUUUUCAAUAUUAUUAUGUUGCUCUUUUUACUUUACUUUGAUGUGAUGCAAUUUAUCCAAGUUUCGUUCUUCUGCUGGCAAGAUUAAGGAGAGAAUGACACUGAUUAGUAGCAGUAACUUACGGGCUCUGUCUCUGUUUCCAUUCCAUGUUAGGUUCUUUUUCCCGAUAUUAGAUGUGCUGGAGCUCGACUUCGUUCGUCCGUCAUGUUCCUCCGCUGGCUCCAAUCAGCAAUUUUGGAUUAGGGAUGAAAUGCACAAGUUCUAUGCACGGAUCUGCGCAGUAAGUAACUGCACUUGUUUGUUUCCUUUCUAAUUGAUUGUUUGGAGAAACACUUGCCUAAACCAAGAAGGAUUAUGCCACAUCUGCAUGAUAUGAAUACCAUCACUAACAUAUCACAUCCUCGAACACCUGGUGUACUUGAGAAUUUUCACUGUAAAUGGUGCGGUUAUUGUCCCUUGAUAAUUAGCAAGGUGAUGUGAGUUUCAGUUUUUAGAACUUUUUAUUUUUAUUUUUAUUCUGUGACAAGUUGAGGGCAAAAAUUGAUAUCAAAUGGGAUGUACUAGAAGCUGUUCUACUAAUUAUAUAGGGUGGGGCUGUGUUUAGGUACUUGGAGUGUAGGGGUUUGAAGAUUACAUACUGUUAUUGAAUUAAAGGUCCAUAUGCAUGCAAAAUUCAACCUAACUUCAUAAUGCAUUCUAAAGGAACAGGUACGUUAUUUGGCCUAAGUAAGACGAAAGUUUAAAAGAGACCCGGAAAGAAUCUGAUAAACAAGACGGGUACAUGUGUUACCUAUCAUAAGUUUGUGUUCACGGUAAAGCUGAUCCUUGAAAGGUGCUUGAAUGCUAAUAGACAUUCACACUGGUGAACCCAUAGGUAUCAGUUUGGGUUGCUCUUGGCAUGCAAUUCUCAUACUUAGCCUUGGGAGCAUAAUCUCUGUUGCUUCUGUACGUGAAAUACUUAAAGGAUACAUGUUCUCAAAUUGUUAAUAUUAAUUCGGUCUAAAAUUCUGGCAGACUGGUGAUCUUGGGCUUCGCUUACUCUGCCACAUUAUCCAUUUCUUUGUGAGCAUUUGGUACUUUUUUGUGGGACUGAUGAACACACUUGAGAGCUUUCUUAUCUCCAGUGGUUUGUUUAAGCGGUAUAGAGAUCUUGAUAUUAGUAAAGUUAAGUACCUGGCAGUCGUUAUAGACAGUGAAGAAGCUCUUCAGAAUCUUAAUGUCCUUCAGCUCUUGCGAUGGCUUGCAGCCAUUGGAUUGAGAAAUGUAUGCCUAUAUGAUAAAGAAGGAGUGCUGAAGAUAUCCCAAGAAGCCCUCAAAUUAUGGCUGAAGAGUGAAAGAACAUCAAAUGUAAACUGUCAGUUCUAUGUUUCAGCAGUUGUCUAUUGAAUCAUCAACUAUGAUAUCCAUAUGCUGAAAUCUGACUUUUGACUGACUGAACAUGAAACAUUCAGGUCUUUCUCUUUAAUUGAACUUUACAACAGGUUUACUAACAUUUAGAAUUUGUUAUUUUCUGUGUAUCCAUGACGAACUUUUCCUGUCAGUUUGUGAUAUACUUGUUGAAUCUCGCAUGAUGCAAUGGUGCCUAUUUUAACUACAUAUACUGGGACAGGUGAAUAAAAUUGUUAGACGACAUCGAUAUACAUUUCCAUGUCCAGAACUGCUAUUAUAAAUGGGCCUCUAAUCCAAACAUGAGCCAUCUUUGCACAGGAAACUACUGGCGACCCACUUUUUGAGUAGAAGAAUAUGAGUUUGGAAGUGAUUUCCUUUUCAGAUGGGAAACAUGCAGUUGAAAAGCAGCAAAUGUGCUUUUAAAGAAGCACUAUUUGAAUGGCAAUACAUAGAAGCCAAACCUGACAGAGUCAGACAUGGCAGACGCUCUUGGCGAAGUAGGGCAUGGGGGAGCAGAACCUGAUCUCAUGUUAAUUUUAUGGGCCGGCAAGAUGCCACCUGGGCUUUCCAUCUUGGAGAAUUCGUCACACUGAGAUGGUGCAAGUGUUUUUAUUAAACACUAUUAUUCACUCAAAUUGGCAACUGUUUUGUCAACAUUAUGAGGGGUAAUCUAUGAUAGCAAGUGAACAUUCUGAGAUCAGGAACAACUUUUUAGACUUUGAGUUCCUUCAUCUACAGCUGAACAGAUUUGUGUAAAAGCCAUCGUAAACUAACAAACAAUUAGAAUAACAACACAUCAACCAAAAACAAAUGAGUAUUGUGCCUAUAUGUAGCUUACAUAUGUACGACUGCAGCCAAAGCAAAUCCCUAUCAUGGGUUGCGUUUAUCUGUAUCUGUUGGCGGCUUAACCUCGACUAAUUAAUUUGUAAAUAUCUCAAUCUUUUCUUUUCUAGAGCAUGUCGUAAGUAUAUUGGAGUACUGGAGUUUCAACUAUACGCUGAUUGCAGGCACAUGGGACCACUGAAGUCUAUGAAAUUUGGUGCCCUCAUGAAAGCCAUUCAGAGGUACACUGUGGUGCAUCAGAACUAUGGUACAUGAAACCGUAUGCUUCAAGCCUUCAAGUGGCGAAUUCUUGUACAAGAAUAACAUAUUUAUUGCUGAUAGCAAAACCUCUAAUUGAUACAUGGUUAUGGAUUAUUAGGUUCUCUACCUUUUUGCCAUCAGCUCUAUACAACUGCUAUUCAACAAUAUUAUGUUGGGUAAAUUACAACCACCUUUCCCCAGAUACGGCAUAAUUAUGAGUUACCUUUCGUUGUUUGAAA